GAUGGACAGACGAAUGCGUGGGAGAACCGAUGCCGAGUGUUAAGAAGGCCAAAGACUCUGCUGCAGUUCUUCUCUUGGAACUAUUAAAUAAACGGUACUCAUGAUAUCAAUAAUGGAGGCAUCAUUUGCGGAGUUCAAGUAUCUACCUUUCCUUGGAUAAUCCCGCGCAAAAAUUGUGCUGUUCUUGGAACUUUACCUUCUACCGUAUAUUUUCAACAUCAAUAUAGCUGUUUCUUUCGACGCAGUCGAGUAGAAGUGCUCAAACUUGCGAGACCAAUAACACAGUUGGCACUCUGUGUUUUUGGCCUGCCAAUAAUAGUGAGUUGGUGUCAAGUGUGUAUAACGAUUGAUUGCAGUUUAUACUCAUUUGCUUUUGGAACAGCUCCAUCAAGUUCAUUGUCCCUGAAGACUGCUAUAAAUGCUUGAGCAGUGGCUGUUUUUGAAUGGAUUGGUUGCUGAAAUGGCAAUUUAAAAACAUGUCCUCCCACCAUCCAUAAAGAAACCUGAAAGUUCAAUAAUGGAGGCAUCAUUUGCGGAGUUCAAGUAUCUACCUUUCCUUGGAUAAUCCCGCGCAAAAAUUGUGCUGUUCUUGGAACUUUACCUUCUACCGUAUAUUUUCAACAUCAAUAUAGCUGUUUCUUUUCGACGCAGUCGAGUAGAAGUGCUCAAACUUGCGAGACCAAUAACACAGUUGGCACUCUGUGUUUUUGGCCUGCCAAUAAUAGUGAGUUGGUGUCAAGUGUGUAUAACGAUUGAUUGCAGUUUAUACUCAUUUGCUUUUGGAACAGCUCCAUCAAGUUCAUUGUCCCUGAAGACUGCCAUAAAUGCUUGAGCAAUGGCUGUUUUUUGAAUGGAUUGGUUGCUGAAAUGGCAAUUUAAAAACAUGUCCUCCCACCAUCCAUAAAGAAACCUGAAAGUUCAAUAAUGGAGGCAUCAUUUGCGGAGUUCAAGUAUCUACCUUUCCUUGGAUAAUCCCGCGCAAAAAUUGUGCUGUUCUUGGAACUUUACCUUCUACCGUAUAUUUUCAACAUCAAUAUAGCUGUUUCUUUCGACGCAGUCGAGUAGAAGUGCUCAAACUUGCGAGACCAAUAACACAGUUGGCACUCUGUGUUUUUGGCCUGCCAAUAAUAGUGAGUUGGUGUCAAGUGUGUAUAACGAU
Molecule: long non-coding RNA, 1159 nt
Filed under: Populus tremula
Lineage: Eukaryota; Viridiplantae; Streptophyta; Magnoliopsida; Malpighiales; Salicaceae
Description: long non-coding RNA (PTRE_LNC001794)
Source: RNAcentral